Molecule: ribosomal RNA, 274 nt
Filed under: uncultured bacterium
Lineage: Bacteria
Description: partial 16S ribosomal RNA
Rfam family: Bacterial small subunit ribosomal RNA
Source: RNAcentral
AUUGAACGCUGGCGGAAUGCUUUACACAUGCAAGUCGAACGGCAGCACGGGGGCAACCCUGGUGGCGAGUGGCGAACGGGUGAGUAAUACAUCGGAACGUGCCCAGUCGUGGGGGAUAACUACGCGAAAGCGUAGCUAAUACCGCAUACGAUCUACGGAUGAAAGCGGGGGAUCGCAAGACCUCGCGCGAUUGGAGCGGCCGAUGGCAGAUUAGGUAGUUGGUGAGGUAAAGGCUCACCAAGCCGUCGAUCUGUAGCUGGUCUGAGGAGGACGA